GAUUUGUAGUCCAUAUUUUAAAGAGGCUUUUGUCGGCCAUGUUGUGGAAACGUCACAUGGCAGCAGAAGAAGGUGCAGAAUGGAUGGAUCGAUAAAAUGGAUGGAUGCAUGGAUGGAUAGAUGCAUGGAUGGAUGCAUGGAUGGAUGGGUAGAUAGAUGCAUGGAUGGAUGGAUGGAUGGAUGCAUGGAUGGAUGGAUAGAUGGAUGGAUGCAUAGAUGGAUGCAUGGAUGGAUGGAUGGAUGCAUGGAUGGAUAGAUGGAUGCAUGGAUGGAUGGAUGGAUGGAUAGAUGGAUGCAUGGAUGGAUGGAUAGAUGGAUGGAUGGACAUGUACCGAUGUACCGAUUAACAAAUACAAAAGAGGAGGAGGUGAGGAGGUGGAGCUGUCGUGGUUCAUGUCUGAUCAGUUCGCAGGGAGCUUUGUACUUUGUGGAAUAGCAGCUUAGGGGCCAUUAUGUGGUCUGAAGGAUUUGUUCGCUGUUGUUACCCUCAGGAGGUAGCGACACACAUUACAAUGUGCGCACACACACACACACACACACACACACGCCUCCUGAUCUUUUCUUGGAUUUUCUUUGAUUUCAGACUGUAUUGCUGUAUGUCUCUUUUCACAGGCAAAGACAGGUGUUUAAACACAAAACACAUAAAACACACACACAUUCUACCCCCCCCCCCCCCCCCCCCCCUUAGCUGCGUAGUGGGCCAGUAGUGUAUCGAGCGCCCUGCUUGUUAGCUGAAGGAGUCUUUUCUCAUUAGGGCUUGGAUCUGGCUCCAUUGUUCCCCUCCAGAGCGAGUUAUUAGGCCUCCUGCUGCAGCACCACCCCCCCUGCCCCCACCCCCCCCCUCCUUGAAUGGACCUGGGGAGCGGAGAGUCUGCGGAGGGCAGAACAGGCAAUUAGCAAAGACAUGUUUGAAGAGAGGAGGGAGAGGACCUGCGCUACAAAAAGAAUCCUUUUGAAGUUUUACAAACUUUUGUCUGCUUUUUUCUUUCUUUGCCAUCACGCUGCCCUCAAAGCCCGAGACGGGUUCUUCAACACGCCGCACCCCUCCUCCCCCUCCGCCGACUCCCCCUCCUCUCCUCCCUCUCUUCCCUCUCUUUCCUCUCAUUCGUUACUCUUCUCCAUGAGAACGCUCAGAAAGCGCCGUAUCUUCUGCAGCCGCUUUGAUGUCUUAACGACGCCGCGAAGAGACCCCCCCCCCAAAACCCCCACAACCCCCAAAACCCCCACUUCACUCUCCUUUUGUCGCCCUUCAGAGUCCAGCAGUCACAUCUGGCUUUUCAGAUCCCACCUCGCUGACACCAAGCGGGAUGCAGGAGGAAAGAAAAGCGACCGCUCGCAUUCAGGGGGAAGGAAAAACUGGCUGCACGUUUAUCAACGUUGGUCUUAUCAGGGUUACAUGGAGCCUUGUUGUCUCGUCACAGGAGGCGGGCAGACUCGCCCCCCAGGGGGUUCCGUACAGAGGCCUUUUCAUCGCUGCUAUUUUCAACCAUGUUACGUGGGUGAGAAAGGCAGACAAAGGCCUCCUGAUUACGGAAAAUGAAAUUAUAUGUCAUUUGAAACGGACGACGUCAACGUAGAGACGACGUGAGGCCCAACAGGGAGCUCAGCUCACGUGUGCGUGUCGGCAUGUGCUCACUUGUGUAAUAUCGCUGCAUUCCCCCCGCAUCUUAUUUCACAGAAAAGUACACACAAUGUGUUUUGGCUGCGUCCUGUGGAUAAGAAGUGUGUGUGUGUGUGUGUGUGUGUGAUCUUAUGCAAACAGGCCGAUGGUUCUACGGCGCCUCUCCUAUCAGCCUGGAGUUUGAUCAGUGUGACAGCGUGCUGAAAACUGACACACACACACAAACGCACACAAACGCACACGCUCUUUGGCCAUGACCACAAUCUCUCCACUGCAUUCCUCUCCUCUGACUGCACUCUGCAUUUGUGUACCUGCUUUUCUGCUUCAUUUUUAGGUCUGAGGAUCUGUUUUGUCGUGCUAUUUGUUUCGUUCUACUGUGGCUCAUUUUCCGCCUUUUGAAAGUCCUUUAAACUAAGCGGCGUCGGGCGAUUCACAAAGGCUGCGGCGUUCCUCUGCGUGCCGAUUGCCCUGCAGUGCCUUUUGGUUUCCCCUGAAGGCCGAACCCUCGCAAGAAGUGAGCAGAAGGAGGACGUGUAGACGCUGUGGGACCUUCUGCUCCCCCGUCACUGGUUUCCAGCGUCCAUGCGUGUGGCACAUGAGAGACAUUGUUCUUCUCGUGGUCCUGAUGUCGGCUCUCUGGCUUAGCGAGGAACCCUCGCGGGGCGAGCGAGCAGCGGCAGAGCGCCCCGCUGGGUGCAGGCGGAUAUUCGGGGUUAUUAUUAAGCCGCAAACCCGCUGCGAGCGACGCAAAUGAGGGCCGAACAAAGCCGCGGCGUCCGGGGUCCCGGGUCGCGCGGAGACGCCGGCCGGCGGCGCUCGGCGAUGAGCGGCUUGAUUUUUACGUCGUCGUAAACGCUCCUUCAAAGACGUCAGCAUGAGGCCUUUGAAGUCGAAAGCAGACGGCCGCAGGUGAAACGCGCACACGCGGCACCGAGAGCACGCAUGAGGACCCGUGCAGGGAGACGGACGCAGCAGAGGACGUUAGCUAUAGAAACAGAUCAUCUAGAACCUGGACAUUAGCUCGUGACGUUUGCUUCACUUGGUAGAAGUAGAAGUGAGUACUUGUGUUAUAGUUUAUAGGAGGUCGUGGUUGAGCAGCCGGACGAGAGAGGAAUCGGCCGCUGGGCGACAUGAAAUAAUGAAGCUGGAGCGUUUUUCUCCCCCUCAGCCGCCGGCAUCGCACCUCCAAGCCGAGCGGGGACCAUGAACUCAUGGACGCGAGACGAGAGCGAGGUCAGACGGGGAGAAAAAGCACGAAUGAGUAGAUAUUUAGGUGCAGCAUAAUUUGAUACAGGGAGGAGCAGCGCGGGCGGGAAUGAUUUAGGGUUCAAAGUGGCGAGCGGAGGCCGGCGGUGUGCCUUUCAAAGGCGGCGCGUGGCGAAGGAUGUGAGAGAUUCGUUAAUUCAGCAGAGUAAAAACGCCGCCUUGAUGUUUACUAGAGUUACACAGGCAGCAGCUGGGAGAGCGCACGCACAUGCACACACACACACACACACACACGCCAUGCUAAAGGCGUCCAUGCACAAGUGAAAAAUGUGGAGACAUUUGAAGGCAUUAAAACCACCUUUCAUGUGAAUUAUCCUUGUUGGCUCCGUCGUCAGUAACACAGAAACCAGGUUACACGAGCGCCUGCUCAGGAAAGAUGCAACGUGAACCCGCGAGAAAACAUACUUGAUGCACAAACCUCACAGGCAGGUAGAAUAUGGGCCCAUUGGGAUGUUGAGUAACCGUCCUGACUGAAGACGCCUCUGCUUCCUGUCGCGGGGGGAGGAGGCCGCGCUUUGCCGACGGCGACAUCGUCUAUUUUUGGGAUGUGAUGAUCAAUUCAUAAGCAAGGGGGGCGGUUUGGGGUCGGAGCAGAUUGCUAAAUAUAUCUGAGCGCUCACCUCGGGACAAAAGUCAGUCGGCCGGGACAAACGGCGCGUUUUACACCCCAGAGGAGCCUCGGAAUGCCGUCGACACAACGCUGAGCUCUGCUCAGGUUCCACGUGUCCACACCAUCAAGGAUCAGGUUGAGUUGAGAGUUCAAUCCCAUAUGUUGGAAGAAACAGACAUUGACUUUGUCUUAAUUCGUCUUCGUUCUGUGAGUCAGAAACAAUGUGAAGCUGACAAAAACACGUUUGUUUUGGGCGUAAACAGGUUUAUUGUUUUAUUUUUUCCAUCAAACGUUGAUCUUUUGUUGUGGUGAACCCCCGCCAUCUUCAUGUAGCACCACGAUUAUUCAAUACGGGUCUGUGAUUUGUGAGUUUCCCUACGUGUGCUGUAUGUUGUCACACACACACACACACACACACACAGUGACAUUCCCCCUGUGAGUCCUCUAAUAAUCCCACUGAAUCAUUUCUGCCCUUGACUGGAUGUCCUCUGUCCUGGCGACACGCACUGCACACACAUGGACUAAUGCAGGAACACACACGCGUGCACAUGGAAAGGGAGGAGGAAAUAAGUCUUUUAUUCUUUGCCUUGAAAAAUCAAACAAAUUCAUCCAGGAGCUUUUGUUGUGCAACACUUUAUACACACAGACACACACACAGAAAACUUGAUCCCUAACUGUAUGUUUUGAGGACUCAUAAACCCACCAGCGUGUGGCGUUUACGAGUGUGUGGAACCACUUGUGUGUUAUUUCAUCGCUGUGUUGAUAUGUGACGCUCUGACGCGUUCGGCGGCCUCGUGUGUCUCCUCGCUGCUGCUUUUCUCGAGCAAACUGCGGUAGGAGAAGCCAGUCUUGCUUCGCCGUGGGACACGAAGCAGCCGGGAUUCAAACCGCCAACCGGUUCCCGGCGCGGCCUCUCUACUCCGUGCGCCACCGUCCUUUUGUAGAUGGGGAGGGAUCCUCCGCUCUACCAGUGCACCACUGUUUUUAGAGGUUGCUCCGCUCUGCAGAGACGUGGAAAAGGACGCUGAGCCGGGCGAAGAGGAUCCACAGAGGCUUCAGACCGUUACCUGGAAGCGUUGGCUCAUCGAGGGAACGUUUUCUGUUCUCACUUAGAAGACUUACUUACUUCCUGACCUUCAUCCCGAGCCAGCGGCGCCCUCCAUUUACAUCGCUGAGGAGGGGAACACAAGAGCUCCAGAUGUUUGUGGCUGAGAUCGUCUUCAUAUUUACUGCUCGUGCCAUAAAACGCGUGUUUCACAAUGUCAUCAUUUUGUGGAACAAAGCGAUUCAUACAGCAAAGGUGAAAACGAUGGACACGUGGAAGACGUAACGAGUCGGGACGGCUCAGGCAUGCUGGGGGGGGGGAAUCGUUUCUCAUACAGUCACCAUCCUCCCUCCUGCAGCCACACACACACACGCACACACACACACACACACGCACACACACACACACUAACGCACACACACCGGUGGCUGUAAUUAGGCCGUUGGGCACGAGAUCAAACUGAAGCGCGGGGCUCUGCUCAGAGUCAAACACACACAUUUUCCUGCACCUUCACUCCGUCCUCGCCGGCACACAAAUGUUUUUGUUUAGUCUGCAACGCAGACCGAGCGCUGUCUGACUUCACUGUUGACUUCUGCAGCGAGGGAACACAGAAGGCGCAGAGCAAAGGAUUGUGGGUCGGAUGAGACGGAGGUGUUCAGCGUGAGGAUAUCCUGGGUGGGUUUUUUUUUCGCUGCAGCGGUGAGCAGAACCGCGGCGAGGUUACGAAAGCAGCAGCGAGCUCGUCUUACUGAUGAGCGGACACGUUUCCCCGCACGCCGCCGUGGAACAAUGGAAGCAUUUAAGCACGAAGCGCGGGCCGUUCCUUUAGGAAAUUAGUCACCGUUUAACCAUGUGGUUGGAAGAGAGACGCAGUCAUGUCGUUUAUUUUACUACCAGAGUAAAUUGGGCCGAGACCUUGAUGUCCACAGACGAGCUCACUGCAUUCUUUGGAGCGUCUCAUCUCUUCUUAUAUUCCACGUGGCUUUAGUCCUUCACCUGGAACCCGAAGGGGGGUCGGAAAGCAGCGAUCACAUCCUGUGAGUUGAAGACGCGUGAGGAGCCCAAGAUGGAGACGUUGUGUCUGUCUGGUCCGUCCGUACCUACGAACCUCCCGUCACUCUGGUCGCCAUCCAAAGUGGUCGUUUUUAGCAUUACGGCUAAGCUGCAUCGUGCCAGGAGCUCUUGGUGCUUCUUCUGCGAUCCUGCUUCAGCUGUCAGGCCUCCGGACGAAGCUUCGCAGUGUCUCUCUCGUGUCGCAAACGAAUGAGAUUGUGACUAAAACAUUGCAGGUUUUAUUCCACUUUUAAAAGGAGUGUUUCAGACCACUGCAGGUCGCCCUGAGCUCAGCGCUGUUAGCGCUCUCAGCUCGGAUAUGUAGAAAGCGUGUGAGUUCAAUACGUCGCACAGAGCUCAGAAAUGCAGCUGUAUCUUCCUCUGGUUCCGAGCGCACGCCGUUAAUCCGUCAGGAGGAGCUGCUGACUUCAGUGUUCGGUUGUCUGUUCUGCGGUUACAGUCAGUAAAUCUUUCUGCAGCUUUCUCCGUCUCUUCGUCUUUGACCUCCUCUUUAAAGUCACUUCCCGUCUGGUCGGCGCUGUUUCUCCGUGGCGGGCCGCUCUGCGCGUGUCUCCCCCACGCUGUCACUGCAGAGUUCUAAAGCUUUCCAUCGGGCCGCCGGGCCGGAGACUCAACCGCAGUGACACACACACACGCGUGUGCGGCGGCGGGGCGGCAGUGCACGUGGACGGUUGUGUGUAUUAACGCGCAUCGUCUUCUCUUGACAACAUGACGAGCUUACGCGCAGAAAAAACAGCACACACUAAAAUCUCAACACAGUUACACUUUCAACUAAUUCAUAUUUUAAUUAUCAGUCACUAUUUUGACAACGCCGAGAUCCAAAUGAACCAAUAUUGUCAAAAGUAAAUAAUAUUGUUAAUGAAAGUAUCUUUUUUUAAUGAUUGAUUAAUCCGUUGAUCUGUAAAAUACACACAAGGAAAUAGAAAUAGAUAAAGGAGCAGUUUCCUUUUCUUUGUGUUUUUGAGACAAUAUUGUUCUUAUUGUAUUGUAUUGUUCUUGUACUUUGUGUCGGGUGGUUUCAUUCAAUUACACACCAAACACAACUCACACACAACAUCUGCAGGUUUCACAUGAUGCACCCGUAUGUAAGUCACACCAUGUCUUACGUGUGACGUGAACUGAGCUGAAAUGAAUGUUCCUAAAGUGAGUGGUCUCACCCACAUACGAGACCGCUCCACCUCCAGGGAACUAAAGGCUCCC
Molecule: long non-coding RNA, 6816 nt
Organism: Gasterosteus aculeatus aculeatus (three-spined stickleback)
Lineage: Eukaryota; Metazoa; Chordata; Actinopteri; Perciformes; Gasterosteidae
Source: Ensembl